Molecule: ribosomal RNA, 1552 nt
Filed under: Siminovitchia acidinfaciens
Lineage: Bacteria; Bacillati; Bacillota; Bacilli; Caryophanales; Bacillaceae
Description: bacterial SSU rRNA
Rfam family: Bacterial small subunit ribosomal RNA
Source: RNAcentral
UUUAUGAGAGUUUGAUCCUGGCUCAGGACGAACGCUGGCGGCGUGCCUAAUACAUGCAAGUCGAGCGGAUGAAGAGGAGCUUGCUCCUUGGAUUCAGCGGCGGACGGGUGAGUAACACGUGGGCAACCUGCCUGUAAGACUGGGAUAACUCCGGGAAACCGGGGCUAAUACCGGAUAACUUCUUUUCUCGCAUGGGAAGAGGUUGAAAGACGGUUUUGCUGUCACUUACAGAUGGGCCCGCGGCGCAUUAGCUAGUUGGUGGGGUAACGGCCUACCAAGGCGACGAUGCGUAGCCGACCUGAGAGGGUGAUCGGCCACACUGGGACUGAGACACGGCCCAGACUCCUACGGGAGGCAGCAGUAGGGAAUCUUCCGCAAUGGACGAAAGUCUGACGGAGCAACGCCGCGUGAGUGACGAAGGCCUUCGGGUCGUAAAACUCUGUUAUCAGGGAAGAACAAGCAUCAUUUAACUGAUGGUGCCUUGACGGUACCUGACCAGAAAGCCACGGCUAACUACGUGCCAGCAGCCGCGGUAAUACGUAGGUGGCAAGCGUUGUCCGGAAUUAUUGGGCGUAAAGCGCGCGCAGGCGGCUUCUUAAGUCUGAUGUGAAAGCCCACGGCUCAACCGUGGAGGGUCAUUGGAAACUGGGAGGCUUGAGUGCAGAAGAGAAGAGCGGAAUUCCACGUGUAGCGGUGAAAUGCGUAGAGAUGUGGAGGAACACCAGUGGCGAAGGCGGCUCUUUGGUCUGUAACUGACGCUGAGGCGCGAAAGCGUGGGGAGAGAACAGGAUUAGAUACCCUGGUAUUCCACGCCGUAAACGAUGAGUGCUAAGUGUUAGGGGGUUUCCGCCCCUUAGUGCUGCAGCAAACGCAUUAAGCACUCCGCCUGGGGAGUACGGCCGCAAGGCUGAAACUCAAAGGAAUUGACGGGGGCCCGCACAAGCGGUGGAGCAUGUGGUUUAAUUCGAAGCAACGCGAAGAACCUUACCAGGUCUUGACAUCCCGCUGACCGGUGCAGAGAUGUGCCUUUCCCUUCGGGGACAGCGGUGACAGGUGGUGCAUGGUUGUCGUCAGCUCGUGUCGUGAGAUGUUGGGUUAAGUCCCGCAACGAGCGCAACCCUUGAUCUUAGUUGCCAGCAUUUAGUUGGGCACUCUAAGGUGACUGCCGGUGACAAACCGGAGGAAGGUGGGGAUGACGUCAAAUCAUCAUGCCCCUUAUGACCUGGGCUACACACGUGCUACAAUGGAUGGUACAGAGGGCAGCGAGACCGCGAGGUUCAGCGAAUCCCUUAAAACCAUUCUCAGUUCGGAUUGCAGGCUGCAACUCGCCUGCAUGAAGCCGGAAUCGCUAGUAAUCGCGGAUCAGCAUGCCGCGGUGAAUACGUUCCCGGGCCUUGUACACACCGCCCGUCACACCACGAGAGUUUGUAACACCCGAAGUCGGUGGGGUAACCCUUCUGGGAGCCAGCCGCCGAAGGUGGGACAGAUGAUUGGGGUGAAGUCGUAACAAGGUAGCCGUAUCGGAAGGUGCGGCUGGAUCACCUCCUUUCUA